This is a long non-coding RNA of Ricinus communis (castor bean), 997 nucleotides long. RefSeq lists it as uncharacterized. The transcript has 2 exons. NCBI's taxonomy places the organism in Eukaryota, Viridiplantae, Streptophyta, Magnoliopsida, Malpighiales, Euphorbiaceae. The record is from RefSeq and is a predicted model, not a curated record.
CUCUCCCCACCGCUCCCCCUAGCUGAACCUCUUCUCUCACUGCCGCUCCCCCUAGCCGAACGCCACUUCCGCCUCGCCUUGCUACUCCUCUCUCCCAUCCCCGAUUGGGUUUUAGCUCGGGGUGAAGGAACCAACAGGUGUCGCGAUGAUGAUCCUAUUUUUUACAGUGGUCACACCGUUCGACGCUGCUCGGUUCUCCCCUUGGCCGAGCCACGUCAUGGGCAGGGAGGCGUCGAGUGGAGCAGGCGCGAUUGUCGGCAGUUUCGAGUGAGGGAGAGGCGUUCAUAAGGCUUCGGCAAGUUUUUUCUCGCGGGAUGAUUGCGAUUGCGGCAUCUAUUUUUGGAAGCUCGGUCGACAGAAGGAUUUGCGAUCUCAAGCUUACGUAGCUUGAGUCCAAUCCUCCCAGUUAUGUGUAAACUAGAUCUUGUUCAGUCUUUUUUUGGAUUUCUUGUGAAUCUGUUGUCGGGGGUAGUUUUGAAGCUCUUCCUAUCUGACAUUAUUGCUGCUGGACUCCAAGAAUUUUUGUAAGAUUUUAAGAUUGCGGCAACUGCUGCAACAUGUGGGCAAGACAUUGAGGUGCCAGAGAUUAUGUUAUAGUUGGCUGCUCUUCCACCUGUGCCACCAGUUGCUACUGGAGACCAUGCUGCCAAAAUAUUCAGACCUGGUGCUGUAAUAUCGGGCUGCAAAGGAAUUUACAUGGUCACACAAAUUUACCAGUAAUUUUCCUUUCUUGUAUCUACCUGAAAUAGUCAUCUGAAAAAGAACAAAUAGAGAGAAAUAGGGUAGAACUUACUUUAAUAAUAUCUGGAGAUAUUAUAUUUGGUCCCUGAGAAGAAAACACAGCCAUUUUUGGUGCAGGCUUAGUGUUCAGGAUUGUUAUUGUUGGAGCUAUCCUCGCAAUUGGAUACCUGUCAAAAUUUAAAAGAUUUUUCUUCGUUAGUCUAAUUCUUGUCUUGUAUUGACGUAUUAUGUAAGCCGGAAAAAGCUUUAGAGCUCA